This 313-nucleotide unclassified non-coding RNA is filed under the name plant metagenome. RNAcentral's name for it is "partial contains small subunit ribosomal RNA, internal transcribed spacer 1, and 5.8S ribosomal RNA". The record is from RNAcentral.
UUUCCGUAGGUGAACCUGCGGAAGGAUCAUUAUUGAAUGAACUUGGUAGUGGUUGUAGCUGGCUCUCUCGAGAGCAUGUGCACACCCGCCAUCUUUAUCUUUCCACCUGUGCACUUCUUGUAGACUUUGGGAUUUGAAAACUUAUCCGGGGCAACUCGGUCGGGAGGAGCUGCUGUAGCAAUACGGCUCUCCUCGACAAGUCUUCAAAGUCUAUGUUUUUCAUAUACCCCAUAGUAUGUAACAGAAUGUAUACAAAUGAGCCUUAGUGCUUAUAAAACUUAUACAACUUUCAACAACGGAUCUCUUGGCUCUC